AUUGAACGCUGGCGGCAGGCCUAACACAUGCAAGUCGAACGCUUUUUCUUUCACCGGAGCUUGCUCCACCGAAAGAAAAAGAGUGGCGAACGGGUGAGUAACACGUGGGUAACCUGCCCAUCAGAAGGGGAUAACACUUGGAAACAGGUGCUAAUACCGUAUAACACUAUUUUCCGCAUGGAAGAAAGUUGAAAGGCGCUUUUGCGUCACUGAUGGAUGGACCCGCGGUGCAUUAGCUAGUUGGUGAGGUAACGGCUCACCAAGGCAACGAUGCAUGGCCGACCUGAGAGGGUGAUCGGCCACACUGGGGCUGAGACACGGCCCAGACUCCUACGGGAGGCAGCAGUAGGGAAUCUUCGGCAAUGGACGAAAGUCUGACCGAGCAACGCCGCGUGAGUGAAGAAGGUUUUCGGAUCGUAAAACUCUGUUGUUAGAGAAGAACAAGGAUGAGAGUAAAAUGUUCAUCCCUUGACGGUAUCUAACCAGAAAGCCACGGCUAACUACGUGCCAGCCGCCGCGGUAA
RNAcentral lists this ribosomal RNA (523 nucleotides) under uncultured bacterium. RNAcentral describes it as "partial 16S ribosomal RNA". It matches the Rfam family "Bacterial small subunit ribosomal RNA", at positions 30 to 523 of the family's 1533-position model. The record is from RNAcentral.